This 65-nucleotide transfer RNA is filed under the name Dipodomys ordii (Ord's kangaroo rat). It matches the Rfam family "tRNA". Rfam says of the family: Transfer RNA (tRNA) molecules are approximately 80 nucleotides in length. Their secondary structure includes four short double-helical elements and three loops (D, anti-codon, and T loops). Further hydrogen bonds mediate the characteristic L-shaped molecular structure. tRNAs have two regions of fundamental functional importance: the anti-codon, which is responsible for specific mRNA codon recognition, and the 3' end, to which the tRNAs corresponding amino acid is attached (by aminoacyl-tRNA synthetases). tRNAs cope with the degeneracy of the genetic code in two manners: having more than one tRNA (with a specific anti-codon) for a particular amino acid; and 'wobble' base-pairing, i.e. permitting non-standard base-pairing at the 3rd anti-codon position. Lineage: Eukaryota; Metazoa; Chordata; Mammalia; Rodentia; Heteromyidae. The record is from Rfam by way of RNAcentral.
GGUGGUUCAGUGGUAGAGCACUUGUCUUGCAUGCAUGAGGCCCUGGGUUCAAUUCCUCAGCACCA